Molecule: ribosomal RNA, 422 nt
Filed under: uncultured Mucilaginibacter sp.
Lineage: Bacteria; Pseudomonadati; Bacteroidota; Sphingobacteriia; Sphingobacteriales; Sphingobacteriaceae
Description: bacterial SSU rRNA
Rfam family: Bacterial small subunit ribosomal RNA
Source: RNAcentral
UAAGGAAUAUUGGUCAAUGGACGGAAGUCUGAACCAGCCAUGCCGCGUGCAGGAAGACGGCCCUACGGGUUGUAAACUGCUUUUGCAGGGGAAUAAACCCCGGUUCGUGAACCGGGUUGAAUGUACCUUGAGAAUAAGGAUCGGCUAACUCCGUGCCAGCAGCCGCGGUAAUACGGAGGAUCCAAGCGUUAUCCGGAUUUAUUGGGUUUAAAGGGUGCGUAGGCGGCUUUUUAAGUCAGGGGUGAAAGACGGUAGCUCAACUAUCGCAGUGCCCUUGAUACUGAAGAGCUUGAAUGUACUUGAGGUAGGCGGAAUGUGACAAGUAGCGGUGAAAUGCAUAGAUAUGUCACAGAACACCAAUUGCGAAGGCAGCUUACUAAAGUAUGAUUGACGCUGAGGCACGAAAGCGUGGGGAUCAAACA